Molecule: unclassified non-coding RNA, 234 nt
Filed under: Hevea brasiliensis (rubber tree)
Lineage: Eukaryota; Viridiplantae; Streptophyta; Magnoliopsida; Malpighiales; Euphorbiaceae
Source: RNAcentral
GCUGCGAUCGAAGUUGGUGAGUAUGUCUGACAUUGUCUCGUCCCCGAAUAAGAGAUAUCCAAAGAAGCCUACGGCUGCGUAGAUGAUGGAGCAGAGCAGUAGAGAGAUGCGCACAGCUCUGGUCAUGUCGGAAGUGCUGCUUAGCUCAGCUCUGAUGGGGUGAACAUUGAAGUGGAAGGUGAAUGCGACAACGAUGACAGGGACGGCGGUGAAGAGCUCGAAAGGGGAGGAGAG